RNAcentral lists this ribosomal RNA (407 nucleotides) under uncultured Actinotalea sp. Its description in RNAcentral is "bacterial SSU rRNA". It matches the Rfam family "Bacterial small subunit ribosomal RNA", at positions 355 to 774 of the family's 1533-position model. The record is from RNAcentral. Lineage: Bacteria; Bacillati; Actinomycetota; Actinomycetes; Micrococcales; Cellulomonadaceae.
UGGGGAAUAUUGCACAAUGGGCGAAAGCCUGAUGCAGCGACGCCGCGUGGGGGAUGAAGGCCUUCGGGUUGUAAACCCCUUUCAGCAGGGAAGAAGCGAAAGUGACGGUACCUGCAGAAGAAGCGCCGGCUAACUACGUGCCAGCAGCCGCGGUAAUACGUAGGGCGCAAGCGUUGUCCGGAUUUAUUGGGCGUAAAGAGCUCGUAGGCGGUUUGUCGCGUCUGCUGUGAAAACCCGAGGCUCAACCUCGGGCCUGCAGUGGGUACGGGCAGACUAGAGUGCGGUAGGGGAGACUGGAAUUCCUGGUGUAGCGGUGGAAUGCGCAGAUAUCAGGAGGAACACCGAUGGCGAAGGCAGGUCUCUGGGCCGCAACUGACGCUGAGGAGCGAAAGCAUGGGGAGCGAACA